RNAcentral lists this ribosomal RNA (478 nucleotides) under uncultured bacterium. Its description in RNAcentral is "partial 16S ribosomal RNA". It matches the Rfam family "Bacterial small subunit ribosomal RNA", at positions 28 to 523 of the family's 1533-position model. The record is from RNAcentral.
GACGAACGCUGGCGGCGUGCUUAACACAUGCAAGUCGAACGGUAAGGCCCUUCGGGGUACACGAGUGGCGAACGGGUGAGUAACACGUGGGUGAUCUGCCCUGCACUUCGGGAUAAGCCUGGGAAACUGGGUCUAAUACCGGAUAGGACUCCGGACUGCAUGGUCUGGGGUGGAAAGCUUUUGCGGUGUGGGAUGGGCCCGCGGCCUAUCAGCUUGUUGGUGGGGUGAUGGCCUACCAAGGCGACGGCGGGUAGCCGGCCUGAGAGGGUGACCGGCCACACUGGGACUAAGAUACGGCCCAGACUCCUACGGGAGGCAGCAGUGGUGAAUAUUGCACAAUGGGCGCAAGCCUGAUGCAGCGACGCCGCGUGAGGGAUGACGGCCUUCGGGUUGUAAACCUCUUUCAGCAUCGACGAAGCGAAAGUGACGGUACCUGCAGAAGAAGCACCGGCUAACUACGUGCCAGCCGCCGCGGUAA